GCUUGGCUCUUUGCUGACGAGUGGCGGACGGGUGAGUAAUGUCUGGGAAACUGCCUGAUGGAGGGGGAUAACUACUGGAAACGGUAGCUAAUACCGCAUAACGUCGCAAGACCAAAGAGGGGGACCUUCGGGCCUCUUGCCAUCGGAUGUGCCCAGAUGGGAUUAGCUAGUAGGUGGGGUAACGGCUCACCUAGGCGACGAUCCCUAGCUGGUCUGAGAGGAUGACCAGCCACACUGGAACUGAGACACGGUCCAGACUCCUACGGGAGGCAGCAGUGGGGAAUAUUGCACAAUGGGCGCAAGCCUGAUGCAGCCAUGCCGCGUGUAUGAAGAAGGCCUUCGGGUUGUAAAGUACUUUCAGCGGGGAGGAAGGGAGUAAAGUUAAUACCUUUGCUCAUUGACGUUACCCGCAGAAGAAGCACCGGCUAACUCCGUGCCAGCAGCCGCGGUAAUACGGAGGGUGCAAGCGUUAAUCGGAAUUACUGGGCGUAAAGCGCACGCAGGCGGUUUGUUAAGUCAGAUGUGAAAUCCCCCGG
RNAcentral lists this ribosomal RNA (536 nucleotides) under Escherichia coli. Its description in RNAcentral is "bacterial SSU rRNA". It matches the Rfam family "Bacterial small subunit ribosomal RNA", at positions 74 to 607 of the family's 1533-position model. Lineage: Bacteria; Pseudomonadati; Pseudomonadota; Gammaproteobacteria; Enterobacterales; Enterobacteriaceae. The record is from RNAcentral.